Molecule: ribosomal RNA, 117 nt
Filed under: Spermophilus dauricus (Daurian ground squirrel)
Lineage: Eukaryota; Metazoa; Chordata; Mammalia; Rodentia; Sciuridae
Source: RNAcentral
GUCUACGGCCAUACCACCUUGGACAAUCUCAUCUGAUCUCGGGUAGAUAAGCAGGGUCUGGCCUGGUUAGUACUUGGAUGAGAGAUGAUCUCCAGAAGAAUGUCAGAGAUGGAUGCC